RNAcentral lists this long non-coding RNA (433 nucleotides) under Oncorhynchus kisutch (coho salmon). Its description in RNAcentral is "lncRNA (ENSOKIG00005000019.1)". The record is from RNAcentral. Lineage: Eukaryota; Metazoa; Chordata; Actinopteri; Salmoniformes; Salmonidae.
UUCAAUUGCAGCGGAAUAGCGGAUUUUUAAAUACUUGGGUUGACGUCACUAAACUUUUCAAGAAGCGGUGCGCGCCGUCAGCGUUUGUGAAUAGAGACGGAACAGAACCGUGCAUGAACGAGAGACAGCUGGGCGACAAGGAGACCGUACAAAACAAGGAAUCUUUCACUUCAUUCGGAGAGAGGGAACUGAUGAGUCAGAGGGGAGGAUAGAUGAGUAACGGACACUACUAGUGGGUUCCAGACACACAAAUCCAAACCAAGAAGGCUCCUGAUCCACUGCAGAGCCCAGGUCUCAGUACCACCAUAGAAGCUAUCGCAGUAUGAACCGAGCUUUCAACAGGAGAAAAGGUAACAGCUCACUGUAUUCAUUGAGUGCAUUUGAAAUAACACCAUGUUUCUUAUACACAAACAGCACAGUCUUUUGAAAGCGU